GAUGAACGCUAGCGGGAGGCUUAACACAUGCAAGUCGAGGGGCAUCACGAGGUAGCAAUACUUUGGUGGCGACCGGCGCACGGGUGAGUAACACGUAUGCAACCUACCCUGUACAGGGGGAUAACCCGGAGAAAUUCGGACUAAUAUUCCAUAAUGAUAUUUUAGGGCAUCCUUUAAUAUUUAAAGCUUUGGCGGUACAGGAUGGGCAUGCGCAACAUUAGCUAGUUGGGAGGGUAACGGCCUACCAAGGCUAUGAUGUUUAGGGGACCUGAGAGGGUGAUCCCCCAACUGGUACUGAGACACGGACCAGACUCCUACGGGAGGCAGCAGUCGAGAAUAGUCUACAAUGGUCGGAAGACUGAUAGUGCGACGCCGCGUGAACGAUGAAUCCCUUGGGGUUAAAGUUCUUUAAUGUGAGCAGUGCUUCUUAUAUUAACAGUAUGGGGGAAGAGGAUAUUAGCAAUAUGAAUAAGCAACGGCUAACUCCGUGCC
RNAcentral lists this ribosomal RNA (492 nucleotides) under uncultured bacterium. RNAcentral's name for it is "bacterial SSU rRNA". It matches the Rfam family "Bacterial small subunit ribosomal RNA", at positions 28 to 509 of the family's 1533-position model. The record is from RNAcentral.